This is a microRNA precursor of Gorilla gorilla gorilla (western lowland gorilla), 78 nucleotides long. Lineage: Eukaryota; Metazoa; Chordata; Mammalia; Primates; Hominidae. The record is from Ensembl.
ACAUGGGCCCGCGGGCGCUCCUGGCCGCCGCCCGACUUCGGGGCCAGCGGGGGGCAGAGCGCGCGGGAGCCCGAGCGU